Molecule: ribosomal RNA, 888 nt
Filed under: uncultured Candidatus Saccharibacteria bacterium
Lineage: Bacteria; Candidatus Saccharimonadota
Description: bacterial SSU rRNA
Rfam family: Bacterial small subunit ribosomal RNA
Source: RNAcentral
GUAGGUGGCAGAGUAUGUCUGUAGUGAAAGCGUGUGGCUCAACCCAUAUACACAUUACAAGAAACUGCUCAGCUAGAGGGCGAGAGAGGUUACUAGAAUUCCUAGUGUAGGAGUGAAAUCCGUAGAUAUUAGGAGGAAUACCGAUGGCGUAGGCAGGUAACUGGCUCGUCCCUGACACUAAGGCACGAAAGCGUGGGUAGCAAACGGGAUUAGAUACCCCGGUAGUCCACGCCGUAAACGAUGGAUGCUAGCUGUAAGAGGUAUCGACCCCUCUUGUAGCGAAGCUAACGCGUUAAGCAUCCCGCCUGUGGAGUACGGUCGCAAGACUAAAACAUAAAGGAAUUGACGGGGACCCGCACAAGCGGUGGAGCGUGUUGUUUAAUUCGUUGGUAAACGAAGAACCUUACCCAGGUUUGACAUCCUUGGAAUUUUUCCGAAAGGAAAGAGUGCUUUUAGAGCCAAGUGACAGGUGUUGCAUGGCCGUCGUCAGCUCGUGUCGUGAGAUGUUUGGUUAAGUCCAUCAACGAGCGCAACCCUUAUAGUCUGUUGUAUUUUUCAGGCUAGACUGCCCCGGUAACGGGGAGGAAGGAGGGGAUGAUGUCAGGUCAGUAUUACCCUUACAUCUGGGGCUACAAACACGCUACAAUGGCCGGUACAAAGGGCUUCCAAGUCGCGAGACGGAGCAAAUCCCAUCAAAGCCGGUCCCAGUUCGGAUAGCAGGCUGAAACUCGCCUGCUUGAAGUCGGAAUCGCUAGUAACGGUAGGUCAGCUAUACUACCGUGAAUACGUUCCCGGGUCUUGUACACACCGCCCGUCAAACCAUGAAAGUCGAGGGUACCUGACGUGUGAGCUUCGCCUCGCCCUAAGGUAAACUCGAUGAUUGGGGUU